GGGCGGAUAGCUCAGUUGGGAGAGCACUGGCUUUACAAGCCAGGGGUCACAGGUUCAAGCCCUGUUCCGCCUACCA
Molecule: transfer RNA, 76 nt
Filed under: Candidatus Atribacteria bacterium
Lineage: Bacteria; Pseudomonadati; Atribacterota; Atribacteria
Also listed under: 3 other names
Description: tRNA-Val
Rfam family: tRNA
About the family: Transfer RNA (tRNA) molecules are approximately 80 nucleotides in length. Their secondary structure includes four short double-helical elements and three loops (D, anti-codon, and T loops).
Source: RNAcentral